Molecule: ribosomal RNA, 231 nt
Filed under: uncultured bacterium
Lineage: Bacteria
Description: partial 16S ribosomal RNA
Rfam family: Bacterial small subunit ribosomal RNA
Source: RNAcentral
CGGAAUCACUGGGCGUAAAGGGCCCGUAGGUGGCGGCCCAAGUCCAUGGUGAAAGCUCGUCGCUCAACGACGAGUCGGCCACGGAUACUGGGUUGCUCGAGCACUGUAGAGGCAGAUGGAAUUCCGGGUGUAGCGGUGGAAUGCGUAGAGAUCCGGAAGAACACCGGUGGCGAAGGCGGUCUGCUGGGCAGUAGCUGACACUGAGGCGCGACAGCGUGGGGAGCAAACAGG